RNAcentral lists this ribosomal RNA (244 nucleotides) under uncultured bacterium. Its description in RNAcentral is "partial 16S ribosomal RNA". It matches the Rfam family "Bacterial small subunit ribosomal RNA", at positions 524 to 769 of the family's 1533-position model. The record is from RNAcentral.
UACGUAGGGUCCGAGCGUUGUCCGGAAUUACUGGGCGUAAAGAGCUCGUAGGUGGUUUGUCGCGUUGUUCGUGAAAACUCACAGCUCAACUGUGGGCGUGCGGGCGAUACGGGCAGACUUGAGUACUGCAGGGGAGACUGGAAUUCCUGGUGUAGCAGUGAAAUGCGUAGAUAUCAGGAGGAACACCGAUGGCGAAGGCAGGCUCUGGGCUGACACUGACGCUCAUGCACGAAGCGUGGGGAGC